UACAGAGGUCUCAAGCGUUGUUCGGAUUCAUUGGGCGUAAAGGGUGCGUAGGCGGCGCGGUAAGUCGGGUGUGAAAUCUCGGAGCUUAACUCCAAAACUGCAUUCGAUACUGCCGUGCUUGAGGACUGGAGAGGAGACUGGAAUUUACGGUGUAGCGGUGAAAUGCGUAGGUAUCGUAAGGAAGACCAGUGGCGAAGGCGGGUCUCUGGACAGUUCCUGACGCUGAGGCACGAAGGCCAGGGGAGCAAACGGG
Molecule: ribosomal RNA, 253 nt
Filed under: uncultured bacterium
Lineage: Bacteria
Description: partial 16S ribosomal RNA
Rfam family: Bacterial small subunit ribosomal RNA
Source: RNAcentral